This 490-nucleotide ribosomal RNA is filed under the name uncultured bacterium. Its description in RNAcentral is "partial 16S ribosomal RNA". It matches the Rfam family "Bacterial small subunit ribosomal RNA", at positions 28 to 507 of the family's 1533-position model. The record is from RNAcentral.
GAUGAACGCUCGCGAUAGGCUUAACACAUGCAAGUCGAGGGGCAGCAUGGUCUUAGCUUGCUAAGACUGAUGGCGACCGGCGCACGGGUGCGUAACGCGUAUGCAACUUGCCUCACAGAGGGGGAUAACCCGUCGAAAGACGGACUAAUACCGCGUACACUUGGGAUAGGGCAUCCUGACCCAAGGAAAUGAAAUUCGCUGUGAGAUAGGCAUGCGUCCCAUUAGCUAGUUGGUGAGGUAACGGCUCACCAAGGCGACGAUGGGUAGGGGAACUGAGAGGUUGAACCCCCACACUGGUACUGAGACACGGACCAGACUCCUACGGGAGGCAGCAGUGAGGAAUAUUGGUCAAUGGGCGAGAGCCUGAACCAGCCAAGUCGCGUGAAGGAUGACUGUCUUAUGGAUGGUAAACUUCUUUUAUACGGGAAUAACAAGAGCCACGUGUGGCUCCCUGCAUGUACCGUAUGAAUAAGCAUCGGCUAACUCCGUG